GGGCGUUUAGCGCAGUGGUAGCGCGUAUGCUUUGCAAAAAAUCACGCUCCGGUGCGAUAAUCGUGUGUAUAAGGUCCAGGGUUCAAUCCCCUGAACGUCCA
This 101-nucleotide transfer RNA is filed under the name Collybia nuda. RNAcentral describes it as "Lepista nuda tRNA". It matches the Rfam family "tRNA". From Rfam's summary of the family: Transfer RNA (tRNA) molecules are approximately 80 nucleotides in length. Their secondary structure includes four short double-helical elements and three loops (D, anti-codon, and T loops). Further hydrogen bonds mediate the characteristic L-shaped molecular structure. tRNAs have two regions of fundamental functional importance: the anti-codon, which is responsible for specific mRNA codon recognition, and the 3' end, to which the tRNAs corresponding amino acid is attached (by aminoacyl-tRNA synthetases). tRNAs cope with the degeneracy of the genetic code in two manners: having more than one tRNA (with a specific anti-codon) for a particular amino acid; and 'wobble' base-pairing, i.e. permitting non-standard base-pairing at the 3rd anti-codon position. Lineage: Eukaryota; Fungi; Basidiomycota; Agaricomycetes; Agaricales; Clitocybaceae. The record is from Rfam by way of RNAcentral.